AGAGUCAUUGUGGGGGAGGGGGUGGGCCAGCCAGGGCAGGCAGGGACAGUCCUUCUGAUGAGGAGGCCACUGGGCUGAGACCAAUGAAUGAGACGGAGCCAGCCACGUGGUGAGCCAGAAGAGGGCAUCACAGUGUUCAGGUCCAUGAAAUGGGCUCCCUACGUCCAACCCCACAGACCCCAUAGGAAAGAGCAGAUGGAAUCUCCAAGGGCACCAGCUAUACAUGGUGGUGGAAGGACCAACAAGUGCUCUCAAUGCCACUGCAGACAACAGGGCUUGAGUCUGGGGGAGCCUGGCUGCCCAGAGGUGGCAGAUGACAUGAAGAAAUAACCAUGUAAGGGCUGGCUGUGUAUGAGAGCAAGCAUUGGGAAGGAUGAAUGCCAACUAUGUUCCAGGAACUUCUACUGUUCUCACACACCCAGAUGAGUGGUGUUCAGGUGGGUGGCACCCAGGUGAGUGGCACCCAGGUGGAUAGCAUCCAGGUGAGUGACACCUAGGUGAGUGACAUUCAGGUGAGUGGCAUCUGUGUGAGUGGCAUCAUCCAGGUGAGUAGCUUCCAGGUGAGUGGCACCCAGGUGAGUGGCAUUCAGGUGAGUGGCAUUAUCCAGGUGACACCUGGGUGAGUGGCAUCCAGGCGAGUGAUAUCAUCCAGGUAAGUGGCACCUGGGUGAGUGACAUCCAGGUGAGUGAUAUCAUCCAGGUAAAUGGCACCCAGGUGAGUAGCAUUCAGGUGAGUGAC
Molecule: long non-coding RNA, 739 nt
Filed under: Pongo abelii (Sumatran orangutan)
Lineage: Eukaryota; Metazoa; Chordata; Mammalia; Primates; Hominidae
Description: lincRNA
Source: RNAcentral